RNAcentral lists this ribosomal RNA (253 nucleotides) under uncultured bacterium. RNAcentral's name for it is "partial 16S ribosomal RNA". It matches the Rfam family "Bacterial small subunit ribosomal RNA", at positions 524 to 776 of the family's 1533-position model. The record is from RNAcentral.
UACGUAGGGUCCGAGCGUUGUCCGGAAUUAUUGGGCGUAAAGGGCUCGUAGGCGGUUUGUCGCGUCGGGAGUGAAAACACCGGGCUUAACUCGGUGCUUGCUUCCGAUACGGGCAGACUGGAGGUAUGCAGGGGAGAACGGAAUUCCUGGUGUAGCGGCGAAAUGCGCAGAUAUCAGGAGGAACACCGGUGGCGAAGGCGGUUCUCUGGGCAUUACCUGACGCUGAGGAGCGAAAGUGUGGGGAGCGAACAGG